GAUGAACGCUAGCGGCAGGCUUAAUACAUGCAAGUUGAGGGGCAGCAUGAUAUACGCGAGUAUAUUGAUGGCGACCGGCGGACGGGUGAGUAAUAGGUAGGAGACCUACCUCAUACAGGGGGAUAGCAUAGAGAAAUCUGUGGUAAUACCCCAUGAGGUUAUAUGAAUAGAGGCAUAUAAUCAAAGCAUAAGCGAUUAUGCGGUAUGAGAGGGGCCUACUGACCAUUAGCUAGUUGGUGAGGUAAGGGCUCACCAAGGCGAAGAUGGUUAGGGGUUUUGAGAGAGAGAUCCCCCACAUUGGAACUGAGAUACGGUCCAGACUCCUACGGGAGGCAGCAGUAGGGAAUAUUGGGCAAUGGGCGGAAGCCUGACCCAGCCAUGCCGCGUGAAGGAAGACGGCCUUAUGGGUUGUAAACUUCUUUACUAUGCGACUAACUAGAUUUACGAGAUAAUUCUAUAGAAUGUAGCAUAGCAAAAAGCACC
RNAcentral lists this ribosomal RNA (483 nucleotides) under uncultured bacterium. RNAcentral's name for it is "bacterial SSU rRNA". It matches the Rfam family "Bacterial small subunit ribosomal RNA", at positions 28 to 494 of the family's 1533-position model. The record is from RNAcentral.